UACAGAGGUCCCAAGCGUUGUUCGGAUUCACUGGGCGUAAAGGGUGCGUAGGCGGUCAAGUAAGUCUGAUGUGAAAUCCCGCAGCUUAACUGCGGAACGGCAUUGGAUACUAUUUGACUAGAGGAUUGGAAGGGAGACUGGAAUACUUGGUGUAGCAGUGAAAUGCGUAGAUAUCAAGUGGAACACCAGUGGCGAAGGCGAGUCUCUGGACAAUUCCUGACGCUGAGGCACGAAAGCCAGGGGAGCAAACGGG
Molecule: ribosomal RNA, 253 nt
Filed under: uncultured bacterium
Lineage: Bacteria
Description: partial 16S ribosomal RNA
Rfam family: Bacterial small subunit ribosomal RNA
Source: RNAcentral